UUGUCAUAAAUAAUAUGAAAGGGAGUUCGGGAGAAGAAAGGGAAUGAAGGGAGGACAGCUAGGGAAAGGGAAGACGGAAUGAGAGAGAGAGAGAGAGAGAGAGAGAGAGAGAGAGAGAGAGAGAGAGAGAGAGAGAGAGGGAAGGAAGAAAGGAAUGGAAACAGGGGGGCAUAGGUAGGACAGAUGUGACAUGGCAAACAAAUAAAGAAAAUGAAGAUGCAAUUGAGUGGAAAUAAAGGAUGGAAAAAGAAUGAAGGGAUGAAAGACAGUAAACUAAAGAAGGAAGGGAGGAAGGAAGGACUCAUCUCAAGGUGCCUCUGUGUUCACUUCACUUCUGAACAGUGCUACAAAAUGGCAAACUGCAAAGAAAAGAAACGGAAUGACUCACAAAAGAAAGAAGAUGGAGGUGAAUGCACGACUGCUUACACCGUGUAUGACCCUGUUCCUCGAAUAGACCACGCCUAACAUCAUGCCCUCGUCUCGGAGUCCUGCAUUUGGGUACAGCCCUGCACCGAUGGUUCCUGACAGUGGGUGCGACUGGUUGUUUAUUCGGGAUUGGCUGGCUUUUGUCCGAAGAUAGCUGGGUCAUGGGUGGGAGCCAAUCCCAACACACUUUGGACGAGACGUGAGGUACACCCUGAAUUGGUCACCAUCUAAUCCCAAGGAAAAUAAAAGGCCUUUAACAGAUACUAUCACAUUUACAUCCAUGGGUAAGUGUUCCUGCACUUAAAAAAAUCUAAUUAUGCUUAAACCUAUCAGGAGAUCAUUAAUAUCUGACAAGUUUUGCAGGUUUGAAGAUUACAACGGACUUCUGUGAACUCUGUAGUCAAACUACAGAAAAAAAAAAAGGGGUUAGAGGCCAGUCUUUAUCUGUGGUGUCAGCAGUGUGUGUUACUCUUAUUAAUCAGUCACCCUUUUCAACUCCGCCCUCUACUUCUGCUGCUAAUAUUUCUUUGUCAUUGCAAGAAAGUUGCAAAAGUCACAUCAUCCUUAAUCAGUUCUCCAAAAUAAGCCACGUCCAUCCUUUUAUUUUCUAUAUUGCCUUUUGCCUAUCUCAGCUUAUUUUUGAAGCGGGGUACAACCUUGACUGGGCUCCAGUCAACGGACCUUUCCGAUGGUGAAACCCUUAAGCUCCGCCCCCUUAGCCAGAAGCUUACAAAAUGGCGAUUGAACAGAACGUGUUUGAAGUUGAUUCUCUAUCUCGUAUUGCAGAAAAUGUUGCGGUAUCUUUUUCGCCAAAUGCGUCAGACUUGUCCAAGAGAGUUCUCCAGAGAGAUCGCAACUAUUUCACGCAAGAAUAUGUACACAGAAUUAAGAUUUUGGAUGGAGCAAGAAGGGUUAGGGCAGGAAUGUCAGAGUUACAGCGAAAUGUUGGCGAUCGAUGCAAAAAAGGAAGGGGAAAAAAAGGAAAUGACAAAGGGCCAUUUUCUUCGUAACAUUAACUUUUCCAAGCGCACGUUACUGACAACCAGCACAGGCGAGAGGGGCGUGUCAAACCAGGGGUGAAGAUAAUGCCGCUAUCUGAUUGGCUAUUAUUGUAAAAGUGAGUGACAGGUCGGAAAGGUCCCUUACAUUAAGUAACCUAGCCUCUAUUUACCUCAAAAUGAUUAUAAUAUUAUUAUUAUUUUCAUGUUUUAUUCAUUUAAUAUUAUUAAGUAAUUUGAUAACUGACUUAUUGGAAAUCAUAAAGUCAAAUAAUAACAGUCUAGUGAGGUCAAUCACGAUGUUUUACACAAAACUCAACUCAAACAAGAGUACAUUUAUGAAUCAGGCGUACACAAUGUGUGGUUUUAGGGGAUUGUGAAGUGUUUGGAUUUUAUUUUAUUUUAUUUUGCCAAAGAUAGUAAAUAGAUCACCACCAUGCAAAACCGUUGCCUGGCGUCUCCUCCAUCCAUACUGUAUGCGUGACAUUUCCCAGUUCCCGUGUGUUUAGUGCGUUUGCAGGUAAAAGACAAACAGUGUGUAUGCGUGAG
This is a long non-coding RNA of Syngnathoides biaculeatus (alligator pipefish), 1973 nucleotides long. RefSeq lists it as uncharacterized. Lineage: Eukaryota; Metazoa; Chordata; Actinopteri; Syngnathiformes; Syngnathidae. The transcript has 3 exons. The record is from RefSeq and is a predicted model, not a curated record.